UUGUGGGGUUUUUUAAUAGCUUACACCGUAGAGGCCUCUGUAUAAAAAUGAUUUUUAAAAAUGCCAAAAUUCAUUGGAUUUGUUUGUAAUGUAUGUGAGGUCUGUUGCAGUGGUGAAUAUUUACUGCAUGCAGGAAGAACUUUUUCUGAUUGUUGCAAACAUCAGUUUUGAAUAACGUCUGAAAAAAUUUUGCUACAACUAUCUGCUGAAGAGAAUUACAGUGAAGACAACUAAACUAGUUGUCUCUACUAAUAAGUAGGUUUCCAUUCAAGAAAUAAAAAAUCAUCCUCAUAGCUAUUGGCAGUUUUCCAUUUGUACAAGUUUAAUUUCUGUCCUGGAUUCUGUUUAAGAAAUGGCACUUUUGUUCUUUACACAUACUGCUGUCAGGCUUGCUACAGAUGAAAGUGGAAGUUACUGAGGUGUGUUGGCUCGGUGAUGUGUGUCCAAAAACAUAAAAUAGAGGUUCUCUGGAAAUGCAGAUUUGCUGAAUCACCUUCUAGGCCUAAAACUGGAUCCCUCUUUUGAUUUUUUUAAAUUUUUUUUUUAAUUUACUUAUGAUUUUUGUUCCUAGAUCUUUUGUCUGUCUUGCGACCUGCUCUUAUAACAGGUAUGGAGUAGGCAACCUGCGAUGAGAUUGGUUUUCUUCAGCUGACUGAGAUUACUAAGCCACAGAAUGGUGCUGAGACUCUAGAUAUUACUCAUUUAAACUCAGUUUUGGGAGUCUGCACUCUUACAGGUUUGUGUCCUUCUCUUUUUUGCUGAAAUCCUGCUUCCAGAGUAAACCAAUCUUUCUCCCCCCAUCUUGGAUGUACCCGUCAGCACCACUUGCUGGCCAGGUGCUGUGAUGAAACAGCACAGAGCAGUGCCAAGUUCGGUCUUGCUGUCCUUCCAUGUCCCUCUUGCUCUCUAUAUUCAGCUCUUCAUUUUCGUCAUGAAGCUUACAGGAACCAUAGUAUCCCCAGAUUGUACCUGGCUUACAGGUGGGCCAAGAAGUUGAAAAUUGUUAAAAGCUGGGGGGAGGAGAAGACAGGCAAACUGACUGUAUGAUCACAGAAGCUAUGUUUCAUUAGGAAGAUGGGAAAAAUACAAAGCCAAAAAAGCCUUAAAAGAUUCUUAAGUAAGUGGAACAGUAAUUUCACUAGAAUGGAGAUAAAAUACAAUAAGGUACAGUAAAAACAAAAAAAAGUCUGAACAUACUAAUGUGGAGACAGAGUAGAAAGUUACAGUAAGAUGGUGUGUGACUUUUACUCUUUACAUACCUGUGUAAGAAGAAUGUUAUCAAAUAACAGUUGCGUUUCUGACUGAUCCUUGGCAAUAUCAGCAUUUGUGUUCAUUCCAAACACCUCCGGGGAAGGAUUCAGUGGAAUUGUCUUUGUAUAUUCGAUAUAGCUUUGGUACUGAAAAAAGAAAUAUUCUAGACUUAAAAGGAGAUGCAGAAACAGCCCAUGACAGGCUGCAAGCUGUGUCUCAAAACCACUACAGACUUCCCUAGUGUAACGAAUACAGUGUGUAAACUAAGAUAUAAAAGGAAAUACAGGGGCUGACUGUGCCUCAAAUUCCUUUGGUCCAUCCUCUUACCCUGAAAUCAGGAUUGGCUUUGCGUUAAUAAUUUCUGACAAAAUUUCUGACAGCUGUUGGAAAUUCUCUUACAAAGUAAGAUACCUAGUGCAAGGGGCUGCAGCCCCUUUCUGGGCGCACUGCUUGCCAAGUUUUGCUGAUGGGUAACAUAACUCUCCUGUGCGAUAAAUUAAGCUAAUGACUAUGUUCUUUCUACCUCCAGCAGACAUGAUCAACUAAUUCUCUUAUGCCUAUUUUAUAAAGCUUUUAACUUCAGCAGGCUGUGUUUCUCCCUUAUUGUCCCCAAGCAUGCUGACUCACACAGAGCAAGGUCAAUUUAAUUGGCAGUAGUUGGGGGUUUUUUUCACAUCAUUUCUGUUUCUUAGAAGUCACUGAAACAAGUCCUAAUAGAACGUGAGAUUAAGCCACAAAAGCAAGCAGUGACAGCAGUAAGCACUGAGGCACAUAUCGAUGUCAGGAAAGAUAGAUAGAUCUAUAUUUUAAAAAUAUAAGCUGUUGAGAAUUCUGUUGUUCUGGGAUACUUACAUCUCCUUCAGGAGGAGCAAAAUAAAGGCCACUUGGAUCAAAUUUGUAAUCUACAUUUGUAAUGAUUUCUGAGCAAAAGAACAUGUUCAGAAUACUACGGAGCGUACGCCGAUCCCAGUCAUCAGUGACUCUGCCACCAUAAUUACAUUCUCCAGUCAUAUAGCGAAGGGCAUCAUGUGGCACCUCCUGAAAAAAAGCAAGACAAUGAUCUGAACUGCAGUCUAGCACUUCUAUGGACAGCCAUAUUGGUAUCAUUGUAAUUUAUUUGCAAGUCAUCUAGAAUUCUUACUGGAAAGUUUAAAAGCUGUUAUUUACUUUUGCUAGUUCAUGCUUGUACCAUUGAUCUCCUGAUCUUCAAAUACUUUAAUAGUCAUCUAUCAAGUCACCCAGCACUGCUUCUUUUGAAGAAUAAUAGCACCAAAAAUUACCAUAGUAAUGCAGCUGGAACUCUCUGAGUACAAGUUCAUGGAAAACUUUUCCAAAAGUAUCUCUACUUGUUUGGCUAUACAUACUUAUAAAAUAAAUGUAUGCUGUCACAGGGGUA
Long non-coding RNA from Harpia harpyja (harpy eagle), 2647 nucleotides. RefSeq lists it as uncharacterized. The record is from RefSeq and is a predicted model, not a curated record. NCBI's taxonomy places the organism in Eukaryota, Metazoa, Chordata, Aves, Accipitriformes, Accipitridae. The transcript is spliced from 2 exons.